GUUUUAAAGUCCAGUCUUCAGUUUUCUUAAUCUGUUCUCAUGUUUAGUCCAGGAAACAGAAUGAGGAAAGAGAUGAGUAUAUUGCUGCAGUUUAGUACCAGUGUUUCCAUCGACCUGUGUGGAUUCAGCAAGAAAUGUCCCAAGAAACAAUGGAACAGAGGAUGGAAAACAACAGUGACAUCCACCUUUGUGCCAGGCAUAGUGCCAGUACUCCCGAGCCACACAGGCACCUGUUUCCAACCUCGCAUUCGUGCUUGUCACCAUGCGUAACGAAACAUUUGAGCUAUGAAAGCUUAAAAGUAUAUGAAGAAACAAUUAUGUGUGUUAUGAAACUGUUCAGCAGUAUGGAUCGGGGCCAGCUCUAUCCAUUCCCAGAUGUAAUGGACGUAAUUAUGAUUUGUUUUUUGUUGUUUAAAAAAUUGAAAAGAAGCAAAACCCUGGUGACAAGAAACGACAAAGCCAACAAAAUCUGAAAUUAUGGUGUUGCUGUUUCUACUGGAAUAAGAGUUCAGUACGGUCACUUACCCAGUCUUCACUUCAACAUGUCUGAGCACUUACAGCUGUAACUUGUGAUCUUUCUGGUUUAUUUGGAGGCACAGCAGGCCAGCUCCUGUACAGAGGAAUUCACAUUGAAGACGGCAUUCUUAUAUGCUUCCUAACAUGCUGCUGCUGCCUGGGUUAUUGAAAUCACAGGGAAGGUUGCAGUGCAAACAUCUAUGUACACAGAUUAAUUCACUUCAAAGUACAUUCAUUCAAGAAUUGUUCAAACAAUAAUUUAUGAAUUGAGCUUUUAUCUCGAGGAUCCGAGUAAUAAUACAGACACUUUCUAGCAACAGCAAUUGUUUUAGUGCAUAAUGUCUCAGAAAGAUUAUUUCUGAAGUAUAAAUUAUAAAUUUAACUUUAGACCUAGCCAUUUGGCAUUGAAAUUUAUGUCAUUAUUUUUACUGGCACUUUUCUACCAUGUUUGUUGUAUUCUAUCUAGUUUGUAAUGUAUCUAAGGAUUGAUGGGCACAUGAAUAAACUUUGGUUACCGUUUAAUGCAUUUUCUAGAAGACUUGCCUAUAUUUCAUCCUCCAUGGUAAUUCUGAGCUGUCUGCAUUAUAUUUCACACUUAUGUCACUUAGUGUUGCUCAUUAUAAUGAAUGUAUGUGCUUCCAGUUCAAACACUUACAGUUACUGCAUUUAUUACUCAUCUUUUGAAAAGAGAAAAAGCAGUACAACUACUGGAAACAGAUUUGGUUAAGAUGCAUUUCAUUAAAUAAACAAAUGAGAAUAGAUAUGGUAAUAAACACAA
Long non-coding RNA from Numida meleagris (helmeted guineafowl), 1294 nucleotides. RefSeq lists it as uncharacterized. Lineage: Eukaryota; Metazoa; Chordata; Aves; Galliformes; Numididae. The transcript has 7 exons. The record is from RefSeq and is a predicted model, not a curated record.